Molecule: ribosomal RNA, 253 nt
Filed under: uncultured bacterium
Lineage: Bacteria
Description: partial 16S ribosomal RNA
Rfam family: Bacterial small subunit ribosomal RNA
Source: RNAcentral
UACGUAGGGGGCAAGCGUUGUCCGGAUUUAUUGGGCGUAAAGAGCGUGUAGGCGGUUAGGUAGGUCCGUUGUGAAAACUCGAGGCUCAACCUCGAGACGCCGAUGGAAACCAUCUGACUAGAGUCCGGAAGAGGAGAGUGGAAUUCCUGGUGUAGCGGUGAAAUGCGCAGAUAUCAGGAAGAACACCCGUGGCUAAGGCGGCUCUCUAGUACGUGACUGACGCUGAGACGCGAAAGCGUGGGGAGCGAACUGG